CUGGCGGCGGCUUACACAUGCAAGUCGAGCGGAAACGAAGGGAGCUUGCUCCCAGGCGUCGAGCGGCGGACGGGUGAGUAACGCGUAGGAAUCUGCCUGAUAGAGGGGGAUAGCCCGGGGAAACCCGGAUUAAUACCGCAUACGCCCUACGGGGGAAAGCAGGGGAUCUUCGGACCUUGCGCUAUCAGAUGAGCCUGCGUCGGAUUAGCUAGUUGGUAGGGUAAAGGCCUACCAAGGCGACGAUCCGUAACUGGUCUGAGAGGAUGAUCAGUCACACCGGAACUGAGACACGGUCCGGACUCCUACGGGAGGCAGCAGUGGGGAAUAUUGGACAAUGGGGGCAACCCUGAUCCAGCCAUGCCGCGUGUGUGAAGAAGGCCUUCGGGUUGUAAAGCACUUUAAGCAGGGAGGAAAGGGUGAAGGCUAAUAUCCUUCAUCAUUGACGUUACCUGCAGAAUAAGCACCGGCUAACUUCGUGCCAGCAGCCGCGGUAAUACGAAGGGUGCAAGCGUUAAUCGGAAUUACUGGGCGUAAAGCGCGCGUAGGCGGUCUGAUCAGUUGGAUGUGAAAGCCCAGGGCUCAACCUUGGAACUGCAUCCAAUACUGUCAGGCUAGAGUACGGGAGAGGGGGGUAGAAUUCCACGUGUAGCGGUGAAAUGCGUAGAGAUGUGGAGGAAUACCGGUGGCGAAGGCGGCCCCCUGGGAUCGAUACUGNACGCUGAGGUGCGAAAGCGUGGGGAGCAAACAGGNAUUAGAUACCCUGGUAGUCCACGCCGUAAA
This 780-nucleotide ribosomal RNA is filed under the name uncultured bacterium. Its description in RNAcentral is "bacterial SSU rRNA". It matches the Rfam family "Bacterial small subunit ribosomal RNA", at positions 36 to 806 of the family's 1533-position model. The record is from RNAcentral.